Molecule: ribosomal RNA, 253 nt
Filed under: uncultured bacterium
Lineage: Bacteria
Description: partial 16S ribosomal RNA
Rfam family: Bacterial small subunit ribosomal RNA
Source: RNAcentral
UACGUAGGUGGCAAGCGUUGUCCGGAUUUACUGGGCGUAAAGAGCGCGCAGGCGGUCGUUCAAGUCGAGUGUGAAAGCCCCCGGCUCAACUGGGGAGGGUCACUCGAUACUGAUCGACUCGAAGGCAGAAGAGGGAAGCGGAAUUCCCGGUGUAGUGGUGAAAUGCGUAGAUAUCAGGAGGAACACCGGUGGCGAAGGCGCUCAUCUGGCCCAAUACUGACGCUGAGGCGCGAAAGCUAGGGGAGCAAACGGG